AGGCGACGAUCCGUAGCUGGUCUGAGAGGAUGAUCAGCCACAUCGGGACUGAGACACGGCCCGAACUCCUACGGGAGGCAGCAGUGGGGAAUAUUGGACAAUGGGCGAAAGCCUGAUCCAGCCAUGCCGCGUGUGUGAAGAAGGCCUUAUGGUUGUAAAGCACUUUAAGCGAGGAGGAGGCUACUGAGACUAAUACUCUUGGAUAGUGGACGUUACUCGCAGAAUAAGCACCGGCUAACUCUGUGCCAGCAGCCGCGGUAAUACAGAGGGUGCGAGCGUUAAUCGGAUUUACUGGGCGUAAAGCGUGCGUAGGCGGCUUUUUAAGUCGGAUGUGAAAUCCCUGAGCUUAACUUAGGAAUUGCAUUCGAUACUGGGAAGCUAGAGUAUGGGAGAGGAUGGUAGAAUUCCAGGUGUAGCGGUGAAAUGCGUAGAGAUCUGGAGGAAUACCGAUGGCGAAGGCAGCUUCCUGGCAUAAUAUUGACACUGAGAUUCGAAAGCGUGGGUAGCAAACAGGAUUAGAUACCCUGGUAGUCCACGCCGUAAAC
This 545-nucleotide ribosomal RNA is filed under the name Heterosigma akashiwo. Its description in RNAcentral is "partial Bacterial small subunit ribosomal RNA". It matches the Rfam family "Bacterial small subunit ribosomal RNA", at positions 271 to 807 of the family's 1533-position model. Lineage: Eukaryota; Raphidophyceae; Chattonellales; Chattonellaceae. The record is from RNAcentral.